Molecule: ribosomal RNA, 1792 nt
Filed under: Galathea sp. KES-2008
Lineage: Eukaryota; Metazoa; Arthropoda; Malacostraca; Decapoda; Galatheidae
Description: SSU rRNA
Rfam family: Eukaryotic small subunit ribosomal RNA
Source: RNAcentral
GAUUAAGCCAUGCAUGUGUAAGUACGAGCAAAAUGAAUGCUCUGCCGUGGACGGCUCAUUAUAUCAGCUAUGAUUUGUUGGAUCUGUACCCCCAGUUUAAUUGGAUAACUGUGGUAAUUCUAGAGCUAAUACAUGAUUCCUAGUCCCCGACUCUAGAGGAAGGGUGCUUUUAUUAUUACAAACUGGUAUUCGUGCCGUGGUCGGUGCGCAAGUACCCAUAUUAUGAUGACUCAGAAUAACUUCUUGCUGAGCGCAUGGCCUCUGUGCUAGUGCUGUUUCUUUCAAGUGUCUGCCUUAUCAGCUUUCGAUUGUAAGUUAUACGCUUACAAUGGCUAUAACGGGUAACGGGGAAUCAGGGUUCGAUUCCGGAGAGGGAGCCUGAGAAACGGCUACCAGUUCUAAGGAGUGCAGCAGGCACGCAAAUUACCCACUCCCGGCACGGGGAGGUAGUGACGAAAAAUAACGAUGCAAGACUCAUCUGGGUCUAUGUAAUCGGAAUGAGAACACUUUAAAUCCUUUAUCUAGGAUCAAUUGGAGGGCAAGUCUGGUGCCAGCAGCCGCGGUAAUUCCAGCUCCAAUAGCAUAUACCAAUGUUGUUGCGGUUAAAAAGCUCGUAGUUGGUUCUCUGAAAGAGCUUUGGGAAGUCUUCUUUACCGAAAGGUAGUUGACUGAAAAACAAAUGCCUCUUGAUAUAGCCCGGCGCCGUUUCGGUCUAGCCAACUUACAUGGUGUUGCUCUUGAACGAGUGUCCCGUGUGGUUGGCAUGUUUACUUUGAAUAAAUUAGAGUGCUCAAAACAGGACAAUAUAAAGCCUGAAUAGACAUGCAUGGAAUAAUGGAAUAAGACCUCGGUUCUACUGUUUUUCCAGUUUGAAAGAACCGAGAUAAUGAUCAAAAGAGACUGCCGGGGGCAUCUGUACUGCAGCGCUAGAGGUGAAAUUCUAUGACCGUUGCAAGACAAACAACAGCGAAAGCAUUUGCCAAGAAUGUCUUCAUUAAUCAAGAACGAAAGUUAGAGGUUCGAAGCGAUCAGAUACCGCCCUAGUUCUAACCAUAAACGAUGCUGACCAGCGAUCCGCCAGCGUUAUACCAAUGACCUGUGCGGGCAACUUCCGGGAAACCAAAGUUUUUGAGUUCCGGGGGAAGUAUGGUUGCAAAUCUGAAACUUAAAGGAAUUGACGGAAGGGCACCACCAGGAGUGGAGCCUGCGGCUUAAUUUGACUCAACACGGGAAAACUCACCAGGCCCAGACACUGGAAGGAUUGACAGAUUGAGAGCUCUUUCUCGAUUCAGUGGUUGGUGGUGCAUGGCCGUUCUUAGUUGGUGGAGCGAUUUGUCUGGUUAAUUCCGAUAACGAACGAGAUUCUAGCCUAUUAAAUAGUCGAUGGAUUCCGCCCGUCCAAUCGAACUACUUCUUCUUAGAGGGAUAAGUGGUAUAAUCUAGCCACAUGAGAUUGAGCAAUAACAGGUCUGUGAUGCCCUUAGAUGUUCUGGGCCGCACGCGCGCUACACUGAAGUGAGCAGCGUGCUUUUCCCCUCCGAGAGGAGUUGGGUAACCAUUUUAAAUCCCUUCCUGAUAGGGCUUGGGGCCUGGAACUAUUUCCCAUAAACGAGGAAUUCCCAGUAAGCGCAAGUCAAGAGCUUGCGUUGACUAAGUCCCUGCCCUUUGUACACACCGCCCGUCGCUACUACCGAUUGAAUGGUUUAGUGAGGACUUUGGACUGUCGCUCAAAUGGAGAAGAGUCCGUAUCCUUAGAGCUGACGGAAAGAUGUCCAAACUUGAUCCUUUAGAG